RNAcentral lists this ribosomal RNA (522 nucleotides) under uncultured bacterium. Its description in RNAcentral is "bacterial SSU rRNA". It matches the Rfam family "Bacterial small subunit ribosomal RNA", at positions 22 to 518 of the family's 1533-position model. The record is from RNAcentral.
GGUCAGGACGAACGCUGGCGGCGUGCCUAAUACAUGCAAGUCAACGGUCUUUCUAUGGAAGCUUGCUUCCACUGAGAAGAUAGUGGCGAACGGGUGAGUAACACGUGGGUAACCUGCCCAUAAGAGGGGGGAUAACAUCCGGAAACGGGUGCUAAUACCGCAUAGUUUCUUGAUCGCAUGAUUGAGAAAGGAAAGACGGCCUUUGUGCUGUCGCUUAUGGAUGGACCCGCGGCGUAUUAGUUAGUUGGUGAGGUAACGGCUCACCAAGACGAUGAUACGUAGCCGACCUGAGAGGGUGAUCGGCCACAUUGGGACUGAGACACGGCCCAAACUCCUACGGGAGGCAGCAGUAGGGAAUCUUCCGCAAUGGACGAAAGUCUGACGGAGCAACGCCGCGUGAGUGAAAGAAGGUUUUCGGAUCGUAAAACUCUGUUGUCAGAGAAGAACAAGUUGGAGAGUAACUGCUCCAGCCUUGACGGUAUCUGACCAGAAAGCCACGGCUAACUACGUGCCAGCCGCGGC